ACAAGCGGUGGAGCAUGUGGUUUAAUUCGAUGAUACGCGAGGAACCUUACCUGGGCUCAAAUGUAUGUUGACGUAUUCUGAAAGGGAUACUUCUUCGGACAAUAUACAAGGUGCUGCAUGGUUGUCGUCAGCUCGUGCCGUGAGGUGUCGGGUUAAGUCCCAUAACGAGCGCAACCCCUAUCAUUAGUUGCCAUCAGGUCAAGCUGGGGACUCUAAUGAAACUGCCCCGGUUAACGGGGAGGAAGGUGGGGAUGACGUCAAGUCAGUAUGUCCCUUACGUCCAGGGCUACACACGUGUUACAAUGGCCGGUACAAUGAGUUGCGACCCUGCAAAGGUAAGCCAAUCUCAAAAAACCGGUCUCAGUUCGGAUUGCAGUCUGCAACUCGACUGCAUGAAGUUGGAAUCGCUAGUAAUCGUAGAUCAGCACGCUACGGUGAAUACGUUCCCGGGCCUU
This 455-nucleotide ribosomal RNA is filed under the name uncultured Sphingobacteriales bacterium. Its description in RNAcentral is "bacterial SSU rRNA". It matches the Rfam family "Bacterial small subunit ribosomal RNA", at positions 925 to 1382 of the family's 1533-position model. Lineage: Bacteria; Pseudomonadati; Bacteroidota; Sphingobacteriia; Sphingobacteriales. The record is from RNAcentral.